This 460-nucleotide ribosomal RNA is filed under the name uncultured bacterium. Its description in RNAcentral is "partial 16S ribosomal RNA". It matches the Rfam family "Bacterial small subunit ribosomal RNA", at positions 338 to 795 of the family's 1533-position model. The record is from RNAcentral.
CCUACGGGUGGCAGCAGUGAGGAAUAUUGGUCAAUGGGCGCGAGCCUGAACCAGCCAAGUAGCGUGAAGGAUGACUGCCCUACGGGUUGUAAACUUCUUUUAUAAAGGAAUAAAGUGAGGCACGUGUGCCUUUUUGUAAGUACUUUAUGAAUAAGGAUCGGCUAACUCCGUGCCAGCAGCCGCGGUAAUACGGAGGAUACGAGCGUUAUCCGGAUUUAUUGGGUUUAAAGGGAGCGUAGAUGGGUUGUUAAGUCAGUGGUGAAAGUUUGGGGCUCAACCGUAAAAUUGCAAUUGAUACUGGCAGCCUUGAGUACAGGUGAGGUAGGCGGAAUGCGUGGUGUAGCGGUGAAAUGCUUAGAUAUCACGAAGAACUCCGAUUGCGAAGGCAGCUUACUAAACUGCCACUGACAUUGAUGCUCGAAAGUGUGGGUAUCAAACAGGAUUAGAUACCCCUGUAGUC